This 301-nucleotide ribosomal RNA is filed under the name uncultured bacterium. RNAcentral describes it as "partial 16S ribosomal RNA". It matches the Rfam family "Bacterial small subunit ribosomal RNA", at positions 509 to 809 of the family's 1533-position model. The record is from RNAcentral.
CAGUCGCCGCGGGAAUACGUAGGGUGCAAGCGUUAAUCGGAAUUACUGGGCGUAAAGCGUGCGCAGGCGGUUAUAUAAGUCAGAUGUGAAAUCCCCGGGCUCAACCUGGGAACUGCAUUUGAGACUGUAUGGCUAGAGUGUGUCAGAGGGGGGUAGAACUCCACGUGUAGCAGUGAAGUGCGUAGAUAUGUGGAGGAAUACCGAUGGCGAAGGCAGCCCCCUGGGAUAACACUGACGCUCAUGCACGAAAGCGUGGGGAGCAAACAGGAUUAGAUGCCCCUGUAGUCCCUGUCUCUUAUAA